Molecule: non-coding RNA, 106 nt
Filed under: Geosporobacter ferrireducens
Lineage: Bacteria; Bacillati; Bacillota; Clostridia; Peptostreptococcales; Thermotaleaceae
Description: Glycine sequence
Rfam family: Glycine riboswitch aptamer
About the family: This family represents the bacterial glycine riboswitch. Glycine riboswitches usually consist of two metabolite-binding aptamers domains with similar structures in tandem. The aptamers cooperatively bind glycine to regulate the expression of downstream genes.
Source: Rfam by way of RNAcentral
UCGAUGAAUGCGGGAGAGAGUUCGUAAUGAACCGCCGAAGGAAAAAGUGGUGCUGGCCUGCCUGUCACACCGCGAAAUUCUCAGGCAAAGGGACCGUAUUUUGACA